GACGAACGCUGGCGGCGUGCUUAACACAUGCAAGUCGAACGGAAAGGCCCUGCUUUUGUGGGGUGCUCGAGUGGCGAACGGGUGAGUAACACGUGAGUAACCUGCCCUUGACUUUGGGAUAACUUCAGGAAACUGGGGCUAAUACCGGAUAGGAGCUCCUGCUGCAUGGUGGGGGUUGGAAAGUUUCGGCGGUUGGGGAUGGACUCGCGGCUUAUCAGCUUGUUGGUGGGGUAGUGGCUGACCAAGGCUGUGACGGGUAGCCGGCCUGAGAGGGUGACCGGCCACAUUGGGACUGAGAUACGGCCCAGACUCCUACGGGAGGCAGCAGUGGGGAAUAUUGCACAAUGGGCGGAAGCCUGAUGCAGCAACGCCGCGUGCGGGAUGACGGCCUUCGGGUUGUAAACCGCUUUCGCCUGUGACGAAGCGUGAGUGACGGUAAUGAGUAAAGAAGCACCGGCUAACUACGUG
Molecule: ribosomal RNA, 468 nt
Filed under: uncultured bacterium
Lineage: Bacteria
Description: partial 16S ribosomal RNA
Rfam family: Bacterial small subunit ribosomal RNA
Source: RNAcentral